Molecule: ribosomal RNA, 254 nt
Filed under: uncultured bacterium
Lineage: Bacteria
Description: partial 16S ribosomal RNA
Rfam family: Bacterial small subunit ribosomal RNA
Source: RNAcentral
GACAGAGGGUGCAAACGUUGUUCGGAAUUACUGGGCGUAAAGCGCGUGUAGGCGGCUAAGUAAGUCGGGCGUGAAAUCCCACGGCUCAACCGUGGAAGUGCACUCGAAACUGCAUAGCUAGAGUCCUGGAGAGGAAGGUGGAAUGCUUGGUGUAGAGGUGAAAUUCGUAGAUAUCAAGCGGAACACCGGUGGCGAAGGCGGCAUCCUGGACCAAUUCUGACGCUGAGGAGCGAAAAGCCAGGGGAGCAAACGGG